RNAcentral lists this transfer RNA (66 nucleotides) under Marmota monax (woodchuck). RNAcentral's name for it is "tRNA.Ala". Lineage: Eukaryota; Metazoa; Chordata; Mammalia; Rodentia; Sciuridae. The record is from RNAcentral.
GGAUUGUGGCUCAGCGGUGAGCGCUCGCCUAGCACAUCGAGGCCCUGGGUUCGAUCCUCAGCACCA